RNAcentral lists this long non-coding RNA (1158 nucleotides) under Parus major (Great Tit). Its description in RNAcentral is "lncRNA (ENSPMJG00000004098.1)". Lineage: Eukaryota; Metazoa; Chordata; Aves; Passeriformes; Paridae. The record is from RNAcentral.
UACUUUAAAAGGGGUACUGUCCCUUUAAGUGUGGGCGUGGUCACUCUAAAGGGGCGUGGCCAUUUAAAAAUGGGGCGUGGCCACUUUAAGAAAGGUCAUGUCCCUUUAAAAUAGGGCGGGGCCACUUAAAAUGGGCGUGGCCACUUCAAACAUGGGCGUGGCCACUCUUAAUGUGGGUGGGGUCACUUUAAAUAGGGCGUGGUCACUUUAAGACGAUUGGGGAACUUCAAAUGGGGGGCGUGGCCACUUUAAAACCUCGUGAUUUUCCCAAGGGGGCGUGGCCUCUUUAAAAGUGGGCGUGGCCUCCACCUGUGGCGUUCCCGCCCUUUUCUUCUACCCCCAAAAUCCCGGGAUUUUCCCCCAAAAUCGACUUCCGGGUUUGCCACUUCCGGGUUUGCCACUUCCUGUUUUGGCACUUCCGGGUUUGCCACUUCCGGUUUUGGCACUUCCGGGUUUUCCACUUUCCGUUUUGGCACUUCCUGUGUUGGCACUUCCGGGUUUGCCACUUCCUGGUUUGGCACUUCCUGUAUUGGCACUUCCGGGUUUGGCACUUCCUGUAUUAGCACUUCCUGUAUUGGCAGUUCCUGUAUUGGCACUUCCGGGUUCGCCGCGAGGCCCCGCCCCUCGUGGGCGUGUCCUCGCUUCUGAUUGGCUCCUCCCCCCCAGGCCGUCUUCACCUAUUGGCUGACGUCCAACGGCUUCAGCCUAUUGCAGACGGGGCUGCUGCGAGUCCCCGCCCUCCGGGCCAAGAUGGGCGUGGCCCCGCCAUUGACCACGCCCCCGGCCACGCCCACCGGCCCCGCCCCCCGGGCCAAGGCGGGAAUCCUGCAGCAGCUGAGGAAAGGCCCGCUCCGACAAACCUUCGCCAAAAACCCCCUCCCCCCACCCUCCACCGCGGCCGCGCCCUCAGAAAACGCAAAAAGACCCUGGAAAAACACCUUGGGAUGACGGAGAGGACCGGAAAAAAUAAAAACCGCGCGGAAAAUAAAAAAAAAACGACUUUUUUGGGGGAAAAAACGGCGAAAUUCGGCGGGGUUUGGGGUGGUUUCACCCGUGAGGGUGCCGAGACAAAAUGGCGGCGGCGCUGAGGCGGCCGCGCAUGCGCAAAGAAGAAACCGCGGGGUUUUUGCCGUACAAGAUGGCGGCGUGCAAUUUGCC